CAAAAGUUGUGUUAAGUGUUGGGUGUUCAUUAUUGCUUGCAUCCAAAAAGGAAGGUAGAAAUACAUCAGAACAUUUAGGAGUAAAAGAUGGGAUUUGAUGUGGCGUGAAUGAAAUAGGAGGAAGAGUAAACAACGAUUGGUUAUAUUCUUUACAUCCUUAAUUGUUGAUUAGGGGAGAAAUUAUAGUAUCAAAGAAUAGUGACGUUAUAAUUUCUUAGGAAAAACAUAAAUGCGAAGAAGGUUCGGACUGUUCCUCAAUCUUAUUUGUGUGUGUUUUCACAUCCUUGUUUGCCCAGACCUAUACAAUUAGAUUAGGUUCCAUAGAAGUUAGUAAGAGGCAAAUAUGUAAGAAUAAUGCAUAAAUGAUAAAUAACUGUAAAAGGAUUACAGACCGGGAAUUAUGGAGCGAAUAUCACUUUUCUCUGAAACAGUUUGGGGGGCGGUGUUCUUCAGAUGUCUUCAUUGGCGUCGAAGGAAAUAAACUUUUUUGUCGGAAUAGAUAGAACACUUGCAAAUCAGAAAUAAGGCAAAGAAGGGAGAUGUAGUUGAGUUGAUAGAAAUUAAUUCACUAAUUAAGAGGGCUGGGGGAAUUUGAAUAGGGGAAAGGGAAUUGUAAAUUUAAAGAAGGGUUUGUUAGGUCUGGGUAAAUUGGAGCAGGGGAAACGGAAUUGAAAAUUUAAAGAAGGUUUGUUUGGUAGGAAGAAGCGGCGCGGGAAGAAGGGAAAGUGGAAGCGCAGUUGAAAGUUUAGAUGAGGUUUGUUUGAUGCGAAGAAGCGGUGCCCGAAGAAUAUGCGAAGCGUUUUUAUUUUAUUUUUUGUAAUUUCAGUUUGAAAUUGCCGG
This 840-nucleotide long non-coding RNA is filed under the name Nicotiana tabacum (common tobacco). RNAcentral describes it as "long non-coding RNA (NTAB_LNC012076)". The record is from RNAcentral. Lineage: Eukaryota; Viridiplantae; Streptophyta; Magnoliopsida; Solanales; Solanaceae.